CAGUCGCCGCGGUAAUACAGAGGGUGCGAGCGUUAAUCGGAUUUACUGGGCGUAAAGCGUGCGUAGGCGGCUUUUUAAGUCGGAUGUGAAAUCCCUGAGCUUAACUUAGGAAUUGCAUUCGAUACUGGGAAGCUAGAGUAUGGGAGAGGAUGGUAGAAUUCCAGGUGUAGCGGUGAAAUGCGUAGUGAUCUGGAGGAAUACCGAUGGCGAAGGCAGCCAUCUGGCCUAAUACUGACGCUGAGGUACGAAAGCAUGGGGAGCAAACAGGAUUAGAUACCCCCGUAGUCCCUGUCUCUUAUAC
RNAcentral lists this ribosomal RNA (301 nucleotides) under uncultured bacterium. RNAcentral describes it as "partial 16S ribosomal RNA". It matches the Rfam family "Bacterial small subunit ribosomal RNA", at positions 509 to 807 of the family's 1533-position model. The record is from RNAcentral.